GUGGGGAAUAUUGGGCAAUGGAGGCAACUCUGACGCAGCCAUGCCGCGUGCAGGAAGAAGGCGCUACGCGUUGUAAACUGCUUUUAACCGGGAAGAAACCCCAGGACGUGUCCUGGGUUGACGGUACCGGAGGAAUAAGCACCGGCUAACUUCGUGCCAGCAGCCGCGGUAAUACGAAGGGUGCAAGCGUUAUCCGGAUUCAUUGGGUUUAAAGGGUGCGUAGGCGGAGCGUUAAGUCAGUGGUGAAAUCCUGCAGCUUAACUGUAGACUUGCCAUUGAUACUGGCGCUCUUGAGUGCGCUUGAAGUGGGCGGAAUGUGCCGUGUAGCGGUGAAAUGCUUAGAUAUGGCACAGAACACCAAUUGCGAAGGCAGCUCACUAAGGCGAUACUGACGCUGAGGCACGAAAGCGUGGGGAUCGAACAGGAUUAGAUACCCGGGUAGUCC
Molecule: ribosomal RNA, 445 nt
Filed under: uncultured bacterium
Lineage: Bacteria
Description: partial 16S ribosomal RNA
Rfam family: Bacterial small subunit ribosomal RNA
Source: RNAcentral